RNAcentral lists this long non-coding RNA (398 nucleotides) under Nicotiana benthamiana. RNAcentral describes it as "long non-coding RNA (NBEN_LNC016338)". Lineage: Eukaryota; Viridiplantae; Streptophyta; Magnoliopsida; Solanales; Solanaceae. The record is from RNAcentral.
AUGAAUUCUGUCUUCUAAUGUUCAAUCUAUGUGUCAUAUUUUUUUUUAAUAAAUUACUUAGUAGAUUUGAGUAAAAAUUUGAAAUAUGCUCGACAUAUUUGGUGACUCAAUUCCAAAUCUCAAUUGGCUAAUAAGAUUUGUUUGUGUAUGAGCUUAAAAUGACCCUUUGUUCUUAACCAUAUAUAAUUUGAUAUAUUAUGAACUUAACAUGGAAUGUGUUAGAAAUCUGAAAACUAGUGUCUUCAUGUUACUUGGGGUUGUAAGUUUGAACAACAUAUGAGGAACUGGACUCAAGCCUGCUCGCUACUGAAUUUUUUAUUUAACAAUUGAAGUCGAGGUCUAAGUGAUUAUCUGGACAUCAAAAUUGGAAGCAUGAGUAGUACUUUAAUCGUUUGAAA